GGACAGUCAUGUGUAGUAGCACAGUGCCUGGUGUGUGGUGAGCUCACAGAACAACUGCCAAUAUCACAUGGAUCUCUCCCUGCACGGUUAGUCUUCUCUUCCUGGAAGCACCAGUCCCAGGGUGACCAAUGGCUUGGCUCUACCAGGUACACAGCAGCUUGGGGUCCGGCCUGGGGGUGUGAGGAAAAGCCCCUGCUCCCACCAUUGGAAACCUGCCCGCUGAGCUUCUUUCCUUCUUGCUUGAAAGUGCUCUAGAGUUUCUGUGCUCACAAUGCAUCUCUUUGGAAGUCUGCCCUCCCAGGGUUGCCAUGGUGACUAUUUUGGUACUGCAUGCUAGAAAAAGCCGAGGCACCUGCUGGUCACACCACCAAAACUUGUCUCUCUGAAAAAUCAGCAGAUGGCAUUUGUCAGAAAUUCCUACUUCUUGAUUAAUUUGGGAAAAAGAAGAGUGUGUGGUAGUGCUGAUAUCCUUUAACCUGGACUGGCUAUGUUGGUGUUUUGGGGAAGAUGGGAAAUAGCUGUGCACAAGCCCCAUGAGCUUCCUCUGCAGUGGUGGGUCAUUUAGUUUUCCCAGAGAGGCUCAGAAGUUUGGUGAUUUUAAUUCUAGUAGAUGAAAACAAGAGGAAGACCAUGAUGUCGAUUUCCUAUUAAGAGGGCUUGGGAUUUCAGGGCUAGUUCUAGAAAGGCCCAUACAUCACUUCUAGUAACCUCCACAAAUUCUCAGACAUGACUCAGGCUGGGUCCAGCUUUUAAUUAGCAUAAAGGGGAAGAAUUCUGAGUUUAUUCAAAUCCCAGGUCUGCCACCUAUUAAUUGUGUGACCUUAGUUCAGUCUCUCAGUCCACCUAAACCUUGGUUUCCCCAUCCGUAAAACAGUGAUGAUGAUAGUGUUUAUCUCACAAGAUUGCCAUGAGGAUUAUAGAAGAUAGUUACCAUCACCAUCAUCGUUAUUGACUAGAAUUAAAUAUAGGCAUGGAGGGAUUGACCCAUCUAAAUGUUCAUGUGGUUUUUACACAUAACUGCGCUCAUGAAAAUAAAUCUAUUAAUCGGACUAUCUAAGCA
Molecule: long non-coding RNA, 1060 nt
Filed under: Felis catus (domestic cat)
Lineage: Eukaryota; Metazoa; Chordata; Mammalia; Carnivora; Felidae
Description: lncRNA (ENSFCAG00000048243.1)
Source: RNAcentral